AAUGAACGUUGGCGGCGUGGAUUAGGCAUGCAAGUCGAGCGUACCCAGCGAUGGGGAAGCGGCAAACGGGGUAGUAAGGCGUCGGUACGUGCCCUCGGGACGAGGAUAGCCACGGGAAACUGUGGGUAAUACUCGAUGACAUCGUGAGAUCAAAGGUGUGAUUCCGCCCGGGGAGCGGCUGACGUGGUAUUAGGUAGUUGGUGGGGUAAUGGCCCACCAAGCCUGGGAUGCCUAGGGGGUGUGAGAGCAUGGCCCCCACCAUUGGGACUGAGAUACUGCCCAGACACCUACGGGUGGCUGCAGUCGAGAAUCUUCGGCAAUGGGCGCAAGCCUGACCGAGCGACGCCGCGUGCGGGAUGAAGGCCUUGGUUGUAACGCUGUCAGGGGGAUGAAAUCAUGGUGGGUUCUCCCAUCAUGUUGACAGAGCCCCAGAGGAAGCGCGGGCUAAGUUCGUG
This 455-nucleotide ribosomal RNA is filed under the name uncultured bacterium. RNAcentral describes it as "bacterial SSU rRNA". It matches the Rfam family "Bacterial small subunit ribosomal RNA", at positions 28 to 507 of the family's 1533-position model. The record is from RNAcentral.